This 430-nucleotide ribosomal RNA is filed under the name Acidobacteriota bacterium. RNAcentral describes it as "Acidobacteria bacterium partial 16S ribosomal RNA". It matches the Rfam family "Bacterial small subunit ribosomal RNA", at positions 355 to 776 of the family's 1533-position model. Lineage: Bacteria; Pseudomonadati; Acidobacteriota. The record is from RNAcentral.
UGGGGAAUAUUGGACAAUGGGCGAAAGCCUGAUCCAGCCAUGCCGCGUGUGUGAAGAAGGCCUUUUGGUUGUAAAGCACUUUAAGCGAGGAGGAGGCUACUUGGAUUAAUACUCUAGGAUAGUGGACGUUACUUGCAGAAUAAGCACCGGCUAACUCUGUGCCAGCAGCCGCGGUAAUACAGAGGGCGCGAGCGUUAAUCGGAUUUACUGGGCGUAAAGCGUGCGUAGGCGGCUUUUUAAGUCGGAUGUGAAAUCCCUGAGCUUAACUUAGGAAUUGCAUUCGAUACUGGGAAGCUAGAGUAUGGGAGAGGAUGGUAGAAUUCCAGGUGUAGCGGUGAAAUGCGUAGAGAUCUGGAGGAAUACCGAUGGCGAAGGCAGCCAUCUGGCCUAAUACUGACGCUGAGGUACGAAAGCAUGGGGAGCAAACAGG